Molecule: long non-coding RNA, 575 nt
Filed under: Mus spicilegus (steppe mouse)
Lineage: Eukaryota; Metazoa; Chordata; Mammalia; Rodentia; Muridae
Description: lncRNA (ENSMSIG00000016982.1)
Source: RNAcentral
CCCACACACAGUUCUGGCUGAAGUGCUCUGUUUCCUGUGUGCCACUGUUCUUGUGCAGGAACACGAUACAGGAGGCUUCUGAGAUCACAGCCUGAGUUGUCCCUGCAGUAGUGCCCUCCUGGCGAUGAACGUCUAAAAAUGGUGUUGAAACUCUGCCAAAGACCCUUCUUCUACUAAGUUCCUUCUGAAAGGGCUACAGGAAGUACCUAAGGGAGUCAAUUGGAUAUCUAAGAUAUUAAAAUGUCAUUGGGUCACUAAGGAAAAACAUCCAAAGAGACUCUUUAAAAUGCCAAGAGAAAGCUAAUGAUACUCUCAUGAAAACAGCGAUUCAUUCAACAGCGUGACAUUUGCUGCCAGGAGAGUGGCUGCAGAGCAGAACAGCGCAGGGGAAGACUCUAGAAGACCCGUGUAGUAGUUCACGUAGGAAGUGGUCUUGUUCAGGCAAGAAUAUUGGCAUUCAUAUUGGCAUUUCACAUGGAAAGGUGAACUAUUUCUCAACCCACUGUUGAUCAGAAAGCACGACUGUGGCUCAUGUAAGCAGAAUGCAUCAGUUUUCCUACCUAAGUCCUCAUCAG